UCUCUCUCUCUUUUCCCCUUCCUCUAUCUUCCCAUUUUGUCACUCUUGCUCUAGCGUUUAUAUUAUUUAUUUAGUUUAAUUUCCUGUUUAGCUUCAAAGAGGGUCACAUUCAAGAACAUAAUUGGGAAUUUGGGAGAUGGAAUAGAGUAUAGUGCACAGGAAUUGGGGAAGGAAAGGAAGAAAAAUAAAUAUAAAGUAUUGGGUUUGGACCAAUUGGUGAUACCUGAAGAGCUUGAGAACACUAUUGGUUCAUCUCCGGUAGUUCAGCAACAUAAACAGAGAGAAACUGUGGUUAAUAGCAAUUUAGCGAGGACAAUGAAUAGGGUUAAGAACUGGUGGCUGAAUAGAUUACGGUCCAUGACAUGUGUGGUAGAUGAUAGGCAAGGGGUAACUAAUAAUUUAGGACCCAUUCAGGGGGCUAGGGUUCGGAGGGUUAAGGUUCGCCAUUCCAGAAAGCAAUGUAAGGAACUCUCUGCUCUAUUUAUGGGACAAAAUAACCAAGCCCAUGAAGGUUCAAUUUUGACAAUGAAAUUUAGUCUUGAUAGGCAGUUCCUUGCGACUGCUGGUAAAGAUCAUAUUGUUCGUGUUUGGCAAGUGGUGGAAGAUCCAAGAUAAAAUGAAAUUGACAUUCCAAACAUCAAUCCUUCAUGCAUUUAUUUCACAAUGAAUCAUCUUUUUGAGCUUUCACCCGUAAUCGCGUAGAAAGAGAAAUUGGAUAAAUUGAAGAGCCUAAAAAAAAUGGCAGACUCAGCUUUUGUCAUCUUCCCGCCGAGGGUCUUUCGGAUAUUGGAGAAGCCACUAUAUCAGUUCAAUGGGAACGAUGAUGACAUCUUAGAUCUCUCAUGGUCGAAGACUAAUAUGGCCAUUUUCAGCUAGAUGCUCGGAUAGAUUUACACAGCAAGAAAAAGGCACCAUGCAAAAGGAUAAUUGGCUUCCAGGUGACACCAUUGUCUUGGGCUGAGUGGAUUGUUGUUUUGUAUCUUUC
Non-coding RNA from Camellia sinensis, 985 nucleotides. The record is from RefSeq and is a predicted model, not a curated record. NCBI's taxonomy places the organism in Eukaryota, Viridiplantae, Streptophyta, Magnoliopsida, Ericales, Theaceae.